UUGAAUCAAAGGAAGACAUG
This 20-nucleotide small nuclear RNA is filed under the name Arabidopsis thaliana (thale cress). Its description in RNAcentral is "snRNA_07741". The record is from RNAcentral. Lineage: Eukaryota; Viridiplantae; Streptophyta; Magnoliopsida; Brassicales; Brassicaceae.